CUACGGGUGGCAGCAGUGGGGAAUAUUGCACAAUGGGCGAAAGCCUGAUGCAGCAACGCCGCGUGAGCGAUGAAGGCCUUCGGGUCGUAAAGCUCUGUCCUCAAGGAAGAUAAUGACGGUACUUGAGGAGGAAGCCCCGGCUAACUACGUGCCAGCAGCCGCGGUAAUACGUAGGGGGCUAGCGUUAUCCGGAAUUACUGGGCGUAAAGGGUGCGUAGGCGGUCUUUCAAGCCAGAAGUGAAAGGCUACGGCUCAACCGUAGUAAGCUUUUGGAACUGUAGGACUUGAGUGCAGGAGAGGAGAGUAGAAUUCCUAGUGUAGCGGUGAAAUGCGUAGAUAUUAGGAGGAAUACCAGUAGCGAAGGCGGCUCUCUGGACUGUAACUGACGCUGAGGCACGAAAGCGUGGGGAGCAAACAGGAUUAGAUACCCUUGUAGUC
Molecule: ribosomal RNA, 438 nt
Filed under: uncultured bacterium
Lineage: Bacteria
Description: partial 16S ribosomal RNA
Rfam family: Bacterial small subunit ribosomal RNA
Source: RNAcentral